RNAcentral lists this transfer RNA (71 nucleotides) under Volvariella volvacea. RNAcentral's name for it is "tRNA-Arg". It matches the Rfam family "tRNA". From Rfam's summary of the family: Transfer RNA (tRNA) molecules are approximately 80 nucleotides in length. Their secondary structure includes four short double-helical elements and three loops (D, anti-codon, and T loops). Lineage: Eukaryota; Fungi; Basidiomycota; Agaricomycetes; Agaricales; Pluteaceae. The record is from RNAcentral.
GCCCUUUAGCUCAAUGGUAGAGCGGCUAUCUUCGAAAUAGUUGGUUAUUGGUUCAAGUCCAAUAGGGCGGC